UCCCGUAACGAGCGCAACCCUUGUCCUUAGUUACCAGCACGUUAUGGUGGGCACUCUAAGGAGACGUGCCGGUGACAAACCGGAGGAAGGUGGGGAUGACGUCAAGUCAUCAUGGCCCUUACGGCCUGGGCUACACACGUGCUACAAUGGUCGGUACAAAGGGUUGCCAAGCCGCGAGGUGGAGCUAAUCCCAUAAAACCGAUCGUAGUCCGGAUCGCAGUCUGCAACUCGACUGCGUGAAGUCGGAAUCGCUAGUAAUCGUGAAUCAGAAUGUCACGGUGAAUACGUUCCCGGGCCUU
RNAcentral lists this ribosomal RNA (299 nucleotides) under uncultured Pseudomonas sp. Its description in RNAcentral is "partial 16S ribosomal RNA". It matches the Rfam family "Bacterial small subunit ribosomal RNA", at positions 1085 to 1382 of the family's 1533-position model. The record is from RNAcentral. Lineage: Bacteria; Pseudomonadati; Pseudomonadota; Gammaproteobacteria; Pseudomonadales; Pseudomonadaceae.